RNAcentral lists this ribosomal RNA (468 nucleotides) under uncultured bacterium. Its description in RNAcentral is "partial 16S ribosomal RNA". It matches the Rfam family "Bacterial small subunit ribosomal RNA", at positions 28 to 507 of the family's 1533-position model. The record is from RNAcentral.
GACGAACGCUGGCGGCGUGCUUAACACAUGCAAGUCGAACGGAAAGGCCCUGCUUUUGUGGGGUGCUCGAGUGGCGAACGGGUGAGUAACACGUGAGUAACCUGCCCUUGACUUUGGGAUAACUUCAGGAAACUGGGGCUAAUACCGGAUAGGAGCUCCUGCUGCAUGGUGGGGGUUGGAAAGUUUCGGCGGUUGGGGAUGGACUCGCGGCUUAUCAGCUUGUUGGUGGGGUAGUGGCUUACCAAGGCUUUGACGGGUAGCCGGCCUGAGAGGGUGACCGGCCACAUUGGGACUGAGAUACGGCCCAGACUCCUACGGGAGGCAGCAGUGGGAAAUAUAGCACAAUGGGCGGAAGCCUGAUGCAGCAACGCCGCGUGCGGGAUGACGGCCUUCGGGUUGUAAACCGCUUUCGCCUGUGACGAAGCGUGAGUGACGGUAAUGGGUAAAGAAGCACCGGCUAACUACGUG